This 504-nucleotide small RNA is filed under the name Oryza sativa Japonica Group (Japanese rice). RNAcentral describes it as "sRNA Os04g0668400". The record is from RNAcentral. Lineage: Eukaryota; Viridiplantae; Streptophyta; Magnoliopsida; Poales; Poaceae.
AUCAUCAAGUCACCCACCAAGCGAAGCAAACCCAUCGCAUCAACCACCAAAUCGAAGGCACGUAGGUGAGCACCAACAGCUACAUCGGCCAUGGCUCGCGCGCUCGUUCUCGUCGUGAUCCUCCUCGCCGCUAUCGCAGUGGCACCGUUCGCGGAAGCCUCGACAGUCACCGGUGGCUCCAGGGUAUUGUUGGCCUCCGACGCGCCCGCUGAGAGCCCGGCUGGGCCUGCGGCGGCCCCAGGCCCAGCGGAAGAGUCCAGCAGUGAAUCUGCUCCAUCUCCGAGCGCCGCUGAUGCCUGAUCGAGUAAUAAUGAAGUCCAAGUGAAUAAUUCUUCAUCCCAAGAACAUUGAUCAAGCAUAUAUGUCCUACCCUUCCUUCAUAAAGGCUAACAGAGCCUCAUUUUUAUUUUUAUUUUUAUUUUUUAUUGCUUUCUUCUGUUGAUUGAUCGUGUUAAUCAUGCAAUAUGAUGAGUUAAUAUAAGUUCGAUGAAGAUAUUUGUUUCC